RNAcentral lists this long non-coding RNA (955 nucleotides) under Homo sapiens (human). Its description in RNAcentral is "HSALNT0339628". The record is from RNAcentral. Lineage: Eukaryota; Metazoa; Chordata; Mammalia; Primates; Hominidae.
GUGACUGGGCUUGGUGGAGUUUCAAGAUGCUGAUGAACUUAAGGUCUGGCGCUUGAAAGAAUCAGUGAAGCUUUUCAAGUAGAGGAGUGGUGUUUCCAGUGAAAUCUAUGGCAAGAUGGUUUGGGGUCACUAUCUACAUGAACUGCCAAGUUGGAAAAUCAAAAAUACAUCAAAAUCACUCUUGGGACAUAAGUCACGGAAGUGACUCAUGCACACAAUAAAUACCCAAGAAGCAGGACCAGACGGCAGUUGUGUAUUGGCACGCUCAUCAGUGCUGCAAAAAUUCCCCUUCUGGAUGGCAACAACAAUGCUUACUCUACUUUGAAGAAAGGAAUGGAACAGAAGGUGUCUGCAUAACUAAAUGGGGAUCUAGAGAAAGUGGAGACUGCCUCUGGAGCAGGGAGGAUUAUGCCACCAUGACUAGAAGGCCCCCUAAUGGAGUUUAUCUGCACUGCAAGGGGCCAGUUGUCUCAGAAUCAUCCUCCGUUGACAUCUCCAUCUCCAGGACAGCUCCACACUAAUCUGUUUCAAAGACAAAAUCCAGUCUAAUCAGUUUGAUGUAUGUUUCUGGGAAUAGAGCCGAAUGUUGUAGCUGAUGGAAUGGAGUCUCAUACCAUUGAUUUUGCAGCUGGACAAGUGCCCUGCCAUGUUACUGCCACUCUUUAAGGCAGAAUAGAGCACAUUGUAUCAUUUAUAGGCCUCUCACAGUGAGAAAUAUGUGGAACUUUGGAAAUCAGAAUCUAAAACUGCAGUCCAAUGGGGUAGCCACUAUUCACAUGUGCUAUUGAGUACCUAAAAUGUGGCUAGACCAAGUUGACAUGUGCUGAAGGGUGAAAAACACCAGGAGUGAAGAAUUAACUUGAAAAAAAUGUAAACUAUCUCAAUUUUAUAUUGAUUACAAAUUAAAUGAUGUUUUGAAUAUAUUGAGUUAAAUGAAAUACAUUUUUUAAUGAUA